Lynx canadensis (Canada lynx) is the source of this 497-nucleotide long non-coding RNA. RefSeq lists it as uncharacterized. The record is from RefSeq and is a predicted model, not a curated record. NCBI's taxonomy places the organism in Eukaryota, Metazoa, Chordata, Mammalia, Carnivora, Felidae. The transcript is spliced from 2 exons.
UUAUAGAAUCAAAUUUCAGUUUCACUGAUUUUCUGGUUUUUUUGGUUUUCUGUCUAGUUCACUGAUUUCUACUCUGACUUAUAUUUCUUUGCUUACUUUGGGUCAGACUGCCUGUUGUUUGUUUCCAGUUCCUUAGAAGAAGUUCGUUCUCUGGCUUCAGCGGCUGCUCGAGGCCACAGGACGUCGGACCAUAGAGUGACCCAUGCUGCCCUGAGGUCGUCCCGGGCUCCAGCCACGUCUCCCGUCAAGACAGACAGGAGAACAAGUGUGUGUGCACAUGCGUAGUCGGAAGACGCCUCUGUCUGGCGGGAUGAACCACCUGAGGGCCGGUUUAGGAGGCUGCUAUACCCCCCUCCCUGAGCAGGUUUUCCGUCUACCCAGCAGGGGCGUCUGGCAGCACCCGCGUUACCGCGUCUGCGUUCGGUGGGUUUCCCGAGGGCUCUGUGGACUGUGCCAACAACCCCGACUUCCCUCAUUAAUAAAGGAACUAAAUGACA